GAUGAACGCUGACAGAAUGCUUAACACAUGCAAGUCUACUUGAACUUCGGUUUGGGUGGCGGACGGGUGAGUAACGCGUAAAGAACUUGCCUCACAGUUAGGGACAACAUUUGGAAACGGAUGCUAAUACCUGAUAUUAUGAUUUUAGGGCAUCCUAAGAUUAUGAAAGCUAUAUGCGCUGUGAGAGAGCUUUGCGUCCCAUUAGCUAGUUGGAGAGGUAACGGCUCACCAAGGCGAUGAUGGGUAGCCGGCCUGAGAGGGUGAACGGCCACAAGGGGACUGAGACACGGCCCUUACUCCUACGGGAGGCAGCAGUGGGGAAUAUUGGACAAUGGACCAAAAGUCUGAUCCAGCAAUUCUGUGUGCACGAUGACGUUUUUCGGAAUGUAAAGUGCUUUCAGUUGGGAAGAAAAAAAUGACGGUACCAACAGAAGAAGUGACGGCUAAAUACGUGCCGGCAGCCGCGGUAAUACGUAUGUCACAAGCGUUAUCCGGAUUUAUUGGGCGUAAAGCGCGUCUAGGUGGUUAUGUAAGUCUGAUGUGAAAAUGCAGGGCUCAACUCUGUAUUGCGUUGGAAACUGCAUGACUAGAGUACUGGAGAGGUAAGCGGAACUACAAGUGUAGAGGUGAAAUUCGUAGAUAUUUGUAGGAAUGCCGAUGGGGAAGCCAGCUUACUGGACAGAUACUGACGCUAAAGCGCGAAAGCGUGGGUAGCAAACAGG
Molecule: ribosomal RNA, 722 nt
Filed under: uncultured Fusobacterium sp.
Lineage: Bacteria; Fusobacteriati; Fusobacteriota; Fusobacteriia; Fusobacteriales; Fusobacteriaceae
Description: bacterial SSU rRNA
Rfam family: Bacterial small subunit ribosomal RNA
Source: RNAcentral